Molecule: unclassified non-coding RNA, 261 nt
Filed under: plant metagenome
Description: partial contains small subunit ribosomal RNA, internal transcribed spacer 1, and 5.8S ribosomal RNA
Source: RNAcentral
UUUCCGUAGGUGAACCUGCGGAAGGAUCAUUAUCGUAAAACCGAGGUGCGAGGGCUGUCGCUGACCUUUUCGGUCGUGCACGCCCGAGCGCUCUCACACAAUCCAUCUCACCCCUUGUGCACCACCGCGUGGGUCCCUUUCUGGCUCGUCCUGAGGGGGGCUUACGUUUUCACACAAACUUUGUAUGCAGUGUAGAAUGUAUUUUUUGUUUUUGCGAUCACGCAAUCAAUACAACUUUCAACAACGGAUCUCUUGGCUCUC